AAUGAGCCUGCGAGUUGUGGUGUCUGGCAAGGUUAAGCAAACGCGAAGCCGUAGCGAAAGCGAGUCUGAAUAGGGCGCUUAGUCAGAUGCUGCAGACCCGAAACGAAGUGAUCUAUCCAUGAGCAAGUUGAAGCUAGUGUAAGAACUAGUGGAGGACUGAACCCAUAGGCGUUGAAAAGCCCCGGGAUGACUUGUGGAUAGGGGUGAAAGGCCAAUCAAACUUCGUGAUAGCUGGUUCUCUCCGAAAUAUAUUUAGGUAUAGCGUUGUGUCGUAAUAUAAGGGGGUAGAGCACUGAAUGGGCUAGGGCAUACACCAAUGUACCAAACCCUAUCAAACUCCGAAUACCUUAUAUGUAAUCACAGCAGUCAGGCGGCGAGUGAUAAAAUCCGUCGUCAAGAGGGAAACAACCCAGACUACCAGCUAAGGUCCCUAAGUCUUACUUAAGUGGAAAACGAUGUGAAGUUACUUAAACAACCAGGAGGUUGGCUUAGAAGCAGCCAUCCUUUAAAGAAAGCGUAAUAGCUCACUGGUCUAGUGAUUUUGCGCGGAAAAUAUAACGGGGCUAAAGUAAGUACCGAAGCUGUAGACUUAGUUUACUAAGUGGUAGGAGAGCGUUCUAUUUGCGUCGAAGGUAUACCGGUAAGGAGUGCUGGAGCGAAUAGAAGUGAGCAUGCAGGCAUGAGUAGCGAUAAUUAAUGUGAGAAUCAUUAACGCCGUAAACCCAAGGUUUCCUACGCGAUGCUCGUCAUCGUAGGGUUAGUCGGGUCCUAAGUCGAGUCCGAAAGGGGUAGACGAUGGCAAAUUGGUUAAUAUUCCAAUACCAACAUUAGUGUGCGAUGGAAGGACGCUUAGGGCUAAGGGGGCUAGCGGAUGGAAGUGCUAGUCUAAGGUCGUAGGAGGUUAUACAGGCAAAUCCGUAUAACAAUACUCCGAGAACUGAAAGGCUUUUUGAAGUCUUCGGAUGGAUAGAAGAACCCCUGAUGCCGUCGAGCCAAGAAAAGUUUCUAAGUUUAGCUAAUGUUGCCCGUACCGUAAACCGACACAGGUGGGUGGGAUGAGUAUUCUAAGGCGCGUGGAAGAACUCUCUUUAAGGAACUCUGCAAAAUAGCACCGUAUCUUCGGUAUAAGGUGUGGUUAGCUUUGUAUUAGGAUUUACUCCGAAAGCAAGGAAACUUACAACAAAGAGUCCCUCCCGACUGUUUACCAAAAACACAGCACUCUGCUAACUCGUAAGAGGAUGUAUAGGGUGUGACGCCUGCCCGGUGCUCGAAGGUUAAUUGAUGGGGUUAGCAUUAGCGAAGCUCUUGAUCGAAGCCCGAGUAAACGGCGGCCGUAACUAUAACGGUCCUAAGGUAGCGAAAUUCCUUGUCGGUUAAAUACCGACCUGCAUGAAUGGCGUAACGAGAUGGGAGCUGUCUCAAAGAGGGAUCCAGUGAAAUUGUAGUGGAGGUGAAAAUUCCUCCUACCCGCGGCAAGACGGAAAGACCCCGUGGACCUUUACUACAGCUUGACACUGCUACUUGGAUAAGAAUGUGCAGGAUAGGUGGGAGGCUUUGAGUAUAUGACGCCAGUUGUAUAUGAGCCAUUGUUGAGAUACCACUCUUUCUUAUUUGGGUAGCUAACCAGCUUGAGUUAUCCUCAAGUGGGACAAUGUCUGGUGGGUAGUUUGACUGGGGCGGUCGCCUCCCAAAUAAUAACGGAGGCUUACAAAGGUUGGCUCAGAACGGUUGGAAAUCGUUCGUAGAGUAUAAAGGUAUAAGCCAGCUUAACUGCAAGACAUACAAGUCAAGCAGAGACGAAAGUCGGUCUUAGUGAUCCGGUGGUUCUGUGUGGAAGGGCCAUCGCUCAAAGGAUAAAAGGUACCCCGGGGAUAACAGGCUGAUCUCCCCCAAGAGCUCACAUCGACGGGGAGGUUUGGCACCUCGAUGUCGGCUCAUCGCAUCCUGGGGCUGGAGCAGGUCCCAAGGGUAUGGCUGUUCGCCAUUUAAAGCGGUACGCGAGCUGGGUUCAGAACGUCGUGAGACAGUUCGGUCCCUAUCUGCCGUGGGCGUAAGAAGAUUGAAGAGAUUUGACCCUAGUACGAGAGGACCGGGUUGAACAAACCACUGGUGUAGCUGUUGUUCUGCCAAGAGCAUCGCAGCGUAGCUAAGUUUGGAAAGGAUAAACGCUGAAAGCAUCUAAGCGUGAAGCCAACUCUAAGAUGAAUCUUCUCUAAGCUCUCUAGAAGACUACUAGUUUGAUAGGCUGGGUGUGUAAUGGAUGAAAGUCCUUUAGCUGACCAGUACUAAUAGAGCGUUUGGCUUAUCUUUAAUAAAGCAU
RNAcentral lists this ribosomal RNA (2320 nucleotides) under Campylobacter jejuni. RNAcentral describes it as "partial 23S ribosomal RNA". It matches the Rfam family "Bacterial large subunit ribosomal RNA", at positions 614 to 2925 of the family's 2925-position model. Lineage: Bacteria; Pseudomonadati; Campylobacterota; Epsilonproteobacteria; Campylobacterales; Campylobacteraceae. The record is from RNAcentral.